GAGCUAGGACGGCAACCACCCCUCGCCGGCGACUCUUAAAGCAGGAGGCGCAGUCCCCGACGAUGACCAUGAUAGAGUCUGAUGACCAGCGAUGGCUCACAAUGACGAGAAUCAAGAGCGAAAUGAAAAAAAAUAAUCUGAAACUAGAUUUUUUUAAAAAAAAUAUUUUUAGGUACAAAAUCAACAAAAAUCCAAGCUUAAAAUCUAUAGA
Molecule: long non-coding RNA, 211 nt
Filed under: Elaeis guineensis (African oil palm)
Lineage: Eukaryota; Viridiplantae; Streptophyta; Magnoliopsida; Arecales; Arecaceae
Description: long non-coding RNA (EGUI_LNC026173)
Source: RNAcentral